UACACAUGCAAGUCGAACGAUGAAGGAGGAGCUUGCUCCUCCGGAUUAGUGGCGAACGGGUGAGUAAUACGUGAGCAAUGUGCCCUUGACUCUGGGAUAAGCGCUGGAAACGGCGUCUAAUACCGGAUACGACCCUCGGAGGCAUCUCCUGAUGGUGGAAAGAACUUCGGUCAAGGAUCAGCUCACGGCCUAUCAGCUAGUUGGUGAGGUAACGGCUCACCAAGGCGACGACGGGUAGCCGGCCUGAGAGGGUGACCGGCCACACUGGGACUGAGACACGGCCCAGACUCCUACGGGAGGCAGCAGUGGGGAAUAUUGCACAAUGGGCGCAAGCCUGAUGCAGCAACGCCGCGUGAGGGACGAAGGCCUUCGGGUUGUAAACCUCUUUUAGCAGGGAAGAAGCGAAAGUGACGGUACCUGCAGAAAAAGCACCGGCUAACUACGUGCCAGCAGCCGCGGUAAUACGUAGGGUGCAAGCGUUGUCCGGAAUUAUUGGGCGUAAAGAGCUCGUAGGCGGUUUGUCGCGUCUGCUGUGAAAACCCGAGGCUCAACCUCGGGCUUGCAGUGGGUACGGGCAGACUAGAGUGCGGUAGGGGAGAUUGGAAUUCCUGGUGUAGCGGUGGAAUGCGCAGAUAUCAGGAGGAACACCGAUGGCGAAGGCAGAUCUCUGGGCCGUAACUGACGCUGAGGAGCGAAAGCAUGGGGAGCAAACAGGCUUAGAUACCCUGGUAGUCCAUGCCGUAAACGUUGGGAACUAGAUGUGGGGACCAUUCCACGGUCUCCGUGUCGUA
Molecule: ribosomal RNA, 791 nt
Filed under: bacterium 151_xplvp405
Lineage: Bacteria
Also listed under: 1 other name
Description: bacterial SSU rRNA
Rfam family: Bacterial small subunit ribosomal RNA
Source: RNAcentral